RNAcentral lists this non-coding RNA (27 nucleotides) under Rattus norvegicus (Norway rat). Lineage: Eukaryota; Metazoa; Chordata; Mammalia; Rodentia; Muridae. The record is from RNAcentral.
UGAAGAUUUCGUGAAUACACAUGUGGC